Molecule: ribosomal RNA, 484 nt
Filed under: uncultured bacterium
Lineage: Bacteria
Description: partial 16S ribosomal RNA
Rfam family: Bacterial small subunit ribosomal RNA
Source: RNAcentral
GAUGAACGCUGGCGGCGUGCUUAACACAUGCAAGUCGAACGGAAACAGGAUGAAGCCUAGCGAUUCCUGUUUUAGUGGCGGACGGGUGAGUAACGCGUGGGUAACCUGCCUUACACUGGGGGAUAACAGUUAGAAAUAGCUGCUAAUACCGCAUAAGCGCACAGGGCCGCAUGGCCUGGUGUGAAAAACUCCGGGGGUGUAAGAUGGACCCGCGUCUGAUUAGCUAGUUGGUGAGGUAACGGCCCACCAAGGCGACGAUCAGUAGCCGGCCUGAGAGGGUGAACGGCCACAUUGGGACUGGGACACGGCCCAAACUCCUACGGGAGGCAGCAGUGGGGAAUAUUGCACAAUGGGGGAAACCCUGAUGCAGCGACGCCGCGUGAGUGAAGAAGUAUUUCGGUAUGUAAAGCUCUAUCAGCAAGGAAGAUAAUGACGGUACUUGACUAAGAAGCCCCGGCUAACUACGUGCCAGCCGCCGCCGUAA